UACGUAGGGGGCAAGCGUUGUCCGGAAUCAUUGGGCGUAAAGAGCGUGUAGGCGGCCCGGUAAGUCCGCUGUGAAAGUCGGGGGCUCAACCCUCGAAUGCCGGUGGAUACUGUCGGGCUAGAGUGCGGAAGAGGCGAGUGGAAUUCCUGGUGUAGCGGUGAAAUGCGUAGAGAUCCGGAGGAACACCAGAGGCGAAGGCGGCCUACUGGGCUGCACCUGACGCUGAGCCGCGAAAGCCAGGGGAGCGAACGGG
This 253-nucleotide ribosomal RNA is filed under the name uncultured bacterium. RNAcentral's name for it is "partial 16S ribosomal RNA". It matches the Rfam family "Bacterial small subunit ribosomal RNA", at positions 524 to 776 of the family's 1533-position model. The record is from RNAcentral.